RNAcentral lists this transfer RNA (73 nucleotides) under Phyllosiphon coccidium. RNAcentral's name for it is "tRNA-Thr". It matches the Rfam family "tRNA". Rfam says of the family: Transfer RNA (tRNA) molecules are approximately 80 nucleotides in length. Their secondary structure includes four short double-helical elements and three loops (D, anti-codon, and T loops). Further hydrogen bonds mediate the characteristic L-shaped molecular structure. tRNAs have two regions of fundamental functional importance: the anti-codon, which is responsible for specific mRNA codon recognition, and the 3' end, to which the tRNAs corresponding amino acid is attached (by aminoacyl-tRNA synthetases). tRNAs cope with the degeneracy of the genetic code in two manners: having more than one tRNA (with a specific anti-codon) for a particular amino acid; and 'wobble' base-pairing, i.e. permitting non-standard base-pairing at the 3rd anti-codon position. Lineage: Eukaryota; Viridiplantae; Chlorophyta; Trebouxiophyceae; Watanabeales; Watanabeaceae. The record is from RNAcentral.
GCCUGUUUAACUCAAUUGGUAGAGUACCGGUUUUGUAAACCGACAGUUAACGGUUCAAGUCCGUUAGCAGGCU